Long non-coding RNA from Pan troglodytes (chimpanzee), 430 nucleotides. RefSeq lists it as uncharacterized. The record is from RefSeq and is a predicted model, not a curated record. The transcript is spliced from 3 exons. NCBI's taxonomy places the organism in Eukaryota, Metazoa, Chordata, Mammalia, Primates, Hominidae.
UGCCACAUGACAGGAUAGGAGCCCUGUAGGAAGACAGUGCAGCUUUGUCCAACAGAGUGCGGCCAAGCUGUGCACCCAAGGGCUGCCCUUGCUGGGAGAAAGGCAUGCCUUUUUCUUGACACAAACGUACCACCUACUAACCGAACCCUUACCUGACAAGGACCUGCCCACCAAGUGGGAUCUCUGUCUUCUAAUGUAUCUGCCUGCCUUGCAGGUGGGGAGAGGCAACACGUUUUUCUAUUUUUUUCAGCCUGGUGAAGCUUUUUCUGCCCACAAAGACAUCUUCUGCAUGCCAAGCCAUCAGCCUGCUUAAGGAACCUGAGCUCCACAGGACUCAAUGAAAAAGCAACUGUAACAGAAGAGAUAGGUGUAUUUCCCCAAAACUGAAAGCCAUUUUCAUCUCUUGUUUUCUGGAUGCCUCAGAUCCCAG